CUAGUAGGUGGGGUAAUGGCUCACCUAGGCGACGAUCCCUAGCUGGUCUGAGAGGAUGACCAGCCACACUGGAACUGAGACACGGUCCAGACUCCUACGGGAGGCAGCAGUGGGGAAUAUUGCACAAUGGGCGCAAGCCUGAUGCAGCCAUGCCGCGUGUAUGAAGAAGGCCUUCGGGUUGUAAAGUACUUUCAGCGAGGAGGAAGGUGCUGCGGUUAAUAACCGCAGCAAUAGACGUACUCGCAGAAGAAGCCC
Molecule: ribosomal RNA, 255 nt
Filed under: uncultured bacterium
Lineage: Bacteria
Description: partial 16S ribosomal RNA
Rfam family: Bacterial small subunit ribosomal RNA
Source: RNAcentral